Molecule: ribosomal RNA, 348 nt
Filed under: uncultured bacterium
Lineage: Bacteria
Description: bacterial SSU rRNA
Rfam family: Bacterial small subunit ribosomal RNA
Source: RNAcentral
AGAGUUUGAUCAUGGCUCAGGAUGAACGCUGGCGGCGUGCUUAACACAUGCAAGUCGAACGAGAGAAGAUUAGUGCUUGCGCUGAUCCGAUCGAGUGGCGGACGGGUGAGUAACGCGUGGGUAACCUGCCUCAUACAGGGGAAUAACAGUUGGAAACGGCUGCUAAAACCGCAUAAGCGCACAGUAUCGCAUGAUACAGUGUGAAAAACUCCGGUGGUAUGAGAUGGACCCGCGUCUGAUUAGCUAGUUGGUGAGGUAACGGCCACAAGGCAACGAUCAGUAGCCGGCUGAGAGGGUGAACGGCCACAUUGGGACUGGAGACACGGGCCCAAACUCCUACGGGAGGCA